This 538-nucleotide ribosomal RNA is filed under the name uncultured bacterium. Its description in RNAcentral is "bacterial SSU rRNA". It matches the Rfam family "Bacterial small subunit ribosomal RNA", at positions 355 to 895 of the family's 1533-position model. The record is from RNAcentral.
UGAGGAAUAUUGGUCAAUGGGCGCAAGCCUGAACCAGCCAAGUAGCGUGCAGGAAGACGGCCCUAUGGGUUGUAAACUACUUUUAUACGAGAAUAAUUUGAUGCACGUGUGCGUUAUUGCAUGUAUCGUAUGAAUAAGGACCGGCUAAUUCCGUGCCAGCAGCCGCGGUAAUACGGAAGGUCCAGGCGUUAUCCGGAUUUAUUGGGUUUAAAGGGAGUGUAGGCGGUUUGUUAAGCGUGUUGUGAAAUUUAGAUGCUCAACAUUUAACUUGCAGCGCGAACUGUCAGACUUGAGUACACGCAACGUAUGCGGAAUUCAUGGUGUAGCGGUGAAAUGCUUAGAUAUCAUGAAGAACUCCGAUUGCGAAGGCAGCAUACGGGAGUGUAACUGACGCUUAAGCUCGAAGGUGCGGGUAUCGAACAGGAUUAGAUACCCUGGUAGUCCGCACAGUAAACGAUGGAUGCCCGCUGUUAGCGCCUGGCGUUAGCGGCUAAGCGAAAGCAUUAAGCAUCCCACCUGGGGAGUACGCCGGCACGGU